This 253-nucleotide ribosomal RNA is filed under the name uncultured bacterium. RNAcentral's name for it is "partial 16S ribosomal RNA". It matches the Rfam family "Bacterial small subunit ribosomal RNA", at positions 524 to 776 of the family's 1533-position model. The record is from RNAcentral.
GACAGAGGGUGCAAACGUUGUUCGGAAUCACUGGGCGUAAAGCGCACGCAGGCGGAUGUGUCAGUCGGGGGUGAAAUCCCGGAGCUCAACUUCGGAACUGCCUUUGAUACAGCACGUCUUGAGUCCGAUAGAGGUGGGUGGAAUUCCUAGUGUAGAGGUGAAAUUCGUAGAUAUUAGGAAGAACACCGGUGGCGAAGGCGGCCCACUGGAUCGGUACUGACGCUGAGGUGCGAAAGCGUGGGGAGCAAACAGG